RNA transcript from Contarinia nasturtii (swede midge), 3671 nucleotides. It is a transcript of the gene named sphingomyelin phosphodiesterase, with no coding region annotated. The transcript has 11 exons. The record is from RefSeq and is a predicted model, not a curated record. Lineage: Eukaryota; Metazoa; Arthropoda; Insecta; Diptera; Cecidomyiidae.
GAACAGAUCAUUCAGUGUGUUGCUACUGUACAGAAAUUUGCUUUUCCUUCCCUUUUUUUAGUUUAAUUUAAACAAAAAUUCGUUAUAGUUUUUUUUCCGUUCGAAUUCGCUUUUUUCCAAAAUAAUUUUAAGUUCAUACAUUUUUUUUACUCAAGUUUCAACAAUUUUUAAUUCUUUUCGCGCUGCCGUUGCUUAUGAAUGCGCGCUGAUCGACUCCAACACUUGCUAAAUGAGUGAGCAUACGUCGAGGGAAACAGCAAAAUGCGCAAAAUUCAAAAAAUCUACUAAGUGACAGUAAGUGUGCCGAGUUAAGGGAGUCAAUUCAAAGUCUAUGUGAACGAAAGAACGAACAAUCGAACACAAGUGACCGAGAGAAAGAGAGUGAAAGAGUCAAACGAGAGGUAGCACAGCAACCACAUACAACCAAUUUAUGUCAUUCGAUUUCGCUAGUUUUCCGCAACAAUUAUAUUUAUUGAAUGGUUCGAAGUUAACGUUCAACCACAAAUUUGAAACAAACAUACCGACGCACGAGUGUGAACAGUCAAAAUUAACAACGUUUUUAAAUCGAACGAGAAACGAACGCGCCAAGCAGAAGAGAAAAAUUCAACAAUUGUAUGCGAUCGAGGAAAAAUUUAAUUUCGAUAAACAAAAAAUAUGAAAAUUCAAUAUGAAUUAUCGGCCAUCGUUUAUAAGUUACUUUUAUCACUUUUACUUUUAACGAAUGUGAAUGGAUUACCGUUUUUAUUCGGCACCACACAUGGAAAUCGUGAUCAUAUGGUUGAAUAUCAAACACCAGACGAUAAUUGGAAUAUAACAAGCGUUCCACGCAGCAUAACACCACACAUAAACCAUAUUAAUUUCACACAAAACCAUGUCAUACCACCACGAAAAUCAGAACAACAACUUGAAGACGAAAUUCUUCAUCGGCUGCAUGAAAUUAAGUCGCAGGAUAGAAAUGACACUCAUACCGGUCGAAUGUUGUGGUUCGAUACAACCGAUCUGAUGCAUUAUCCACCAUUUGUUGACAAGACAUUAAAGCUGUUUAAUUUGAAGCAAGUUGCACAUGAGCUUGAAACGAGUGUUAUGUCGAAAGUGUCAUGUACUGCAUGCAAAGCAGGUGCUGGACUAUUAAUGCACUAUAUCAAAACGGGCAAAAGUAAUGAAGAGAUUAUUAAAAUGAUUUAUCAAUUUUGUGUGAAUUUAAAAAUUCAAACACCACGAGUAUGUGAAGGUGUGAGUCAUUUAUUUGGUACCGAAGUGAUAUAUGUUUUGAAGCGUGUCACAAUUGGUCCGGACGAGAUAUGCAGUUUUGUUAUCGGUGAUGCAUGUGGCGAUGUAUACAAUCCGUUGCAUGAUUGGGAUGUUACAUUUCCGCCGGUGCCAAAGCCAGAAAUUCAUGAUAUACCAUUGCCAAAAGAAGGAUUUCCAACAUUUAAAGUGCUUCAUUUAUCUGAUACACAUUAUGAUCCAUACUAUACGGAAGGUACAAAUGCCGAUUGUAAUGAGCCACUGUGCUGCCGUUUAACCCAUGGACGACCGAAUACACCGCACAAUGCAGCCGGAAAAUGGGGUGAUUAUCGUAAAUGCGAUACACCAAAACGUACAAUUGAUCAUCUGUUGGAUCACAUCGCUGAAACACAUACGGACAUUGAUUACAUUAUUUGGACAGGUGAUUUGGUGCCGCACGACGUUUGGAAUCAAACAAAAGAGGAAAAUCUUAAAAUCAUCAAAGACACCGUUAAACAAAUGUCGGAAAAAUUUCCCGGCGUUCCAAUAUUUCCAGCUCUUGGUAAUCAUGAAAGUGCACCAGUCAAUAGUUUUCCACCGCCAUUUGUGCAACAGCAAGAUAUAUCGAUUUCAUGGUUGUACGAUGAAUUGGACGCAUUGUGGCGUCGAUGGUUGCCGGCCAGUGUGUCACAUACAAUUCGACGUGGUGCAUUUUAUUCGGUUCUUGUACGUCCCGGUUUUCGUAUCAUUUCGUUGAAUAUGAACUAUUGUAACAACAAAAAUUGGUGGCUACUUUUGAAUUCAACCGAUCCGGCCACUGAACUGCAAUGGUUUAUUUAUGAAUUACAAAGUGCCGAAUUUUCAAAUGAAAAAGUUCAUAUCGUUGGACAUAUUCCACCCGGUCAUCCGGAUUGUUUAAAAGUAUGGUCACGUAAUUACUACAAUAUUAUUGCACGAUACGAAAGCACGAUCACCGCUCAAUUCUUUGGACACACACAUUUCGAUGAAUUUGAAGUGUUUUAUGAUCCAAAAGAUUUAAGUCGUGCCACAAAUGUAGCUUAUAUUGGUCCAUCCGUAACGCCAUAUGAUAAUCUUAAUCCGGGUUAUCGAAUUUACUAUGUUGAUGGUGAUCAUGAUGCAACCACACGGUUGGUUAUCGAUCAUGAAAAUUGGAUUAUGAAUUUGAAAGAAGCCAAUUUAUAUGACUAUCCCAUUUGGUAUAAAUUGUAUUCAACACGAUACGCAUAUUCAAUGCGUGGCUUACGACCAUCCGAUUGGGAUGAAUUAAUCAAUACAAUGACUAAUAACGAUGAAAUAUUCGAUUUGUAUUACAAGCAUUAUUGGAAAAAUUCGCCGUUACGACCACAGUGUUUAUAUGAAUGUAAGAAGCAUAUUUUGUGUCAGGCCAAAAGUGGACGCAGUCACGAUCGAAAGCAUUUUUGUGAAGGUGUCGAAUCAAAGAUUGACGAAGGCAAUUCAAAAAGCUGGGGAGCCUGGUUCUAUCGUGGACUUAGUGUUUCAUCAACCGAAGAACCAAUGAAAAACGUCGAUGAAAAUUCUGAAAUGAUUUCGACUAAUGAAGUAACAAUAACAGGUAAACAUACAGAAUCGCAAGACAUCAAUGAAGAAUAUAUGGAAGAAGUGGCCAAAUUGACGACCACGUUUGAGUCAUCAACGACGGAACAAGUUGUACAAACCAUUACCAGCACAACUGAAACAACCAGCUCGAGCGAAAAUUCAUCAAAGAUGAUCAGUGUUAUUUGUAUGUGGUGUUAAGUCUAUCUAUAACUAUAUCUAUUGAAAUAAUUUCUAAACAAAAACAUCUAUAGUAGUGUAUAGUUCAUCUAACUAUCUAAUUUUGACUUUCUCAAAUUGACCUUUGGUUGAUGGCCUUUUUUCGAAUCUGGAUAUUUGCUUUUUAUCCAAUGUAAAUAAAUUCUAAACCGAAAUUAACAAGUGAACAACUAAUGAAUGUUAUCAUGUCAAUUACGAAGCUACCCAAAUACGUCAUGGGAUUCGGUUAGUUCAUCAAUCGAUUCAUGCAGCAGCACAACCAGUGGCCAGUAGUUAACAGCACCCCCAAUCACAAAAACAGCCGAUACAUCCGUGCAAUUGCAAACCAACAUCUACGGAAACAUGAAAAACAACAACACUAAUUUAUUUAUUUAUUCAAAAUGAAACGUAAAUCAUUUGUAUACAUUGUGAACCGAGACAACAUUUCAAAUUCCGAUACAAAACAAAACAAAAUGAUGAACAUCAAAUUAUAAAUUAUCGUACAUAAUUUAUAGCAUUUUUAUGACUUUAGUACUCAACCAACAAAAAUUCACUUCUCUCGUUUUGUUACUUAAUUUAUUUAAUGAAAAUAAACGAAGGCCUUGUGAUAAAAAAAUUUAAAUAAAGAAAAAGAAGAAGGAGAAGUAGGAAAAACGAGAUAAAAAGUAAAC